CGGUUGAUCCUGCCGGACCUGACUGCUAUCGGAUUGAUACUAAGCCAUGCUAGUCUUUGUAGUAAUACAAGGCAUACGGCUCAGUAACGCGUAGUCAACCUACCCUAUGGACGGGGAUAAUCUCGGGAAACUGAGCAUAAUACCCGGUAGACCACUUAUCCUGGAAUGGUUAGUGGUUAAAAUGAUUCGUCGCCAUAGGAUGGGACUGCGGCCUAUCAGCUUGUUGGUGAGGUAAUGGCCCACCAAGGCGAUUACAGGCACGGGCUCUGAGAGGAGAAGCCCGGAGAUGGGUACUGAGACAAGGACCCAGGCCCUAUGGGGCGCAGCAGGCGAGAAAACUUUGCAAUGUGCGAAAGCACGACAAGGUUAAUCCGAGUGAUUUCUGCUAAAGGAAUCUUUUGUUAGUUCUAAAAAUACUAGUGAAUAAGGGGUGGGCAAGUUCUGGUGUCAGCCGCCGCGGUAAAACCAGCACCUCAAGUGGUCAGGAGGAUUAUUGGGCCUAAAGCAUCCGUAGCCUGUUCUAUAAGUUUGCGGUUAAAUCUAUACGCUCAACGUAUAGGCUGCCGUAAAUACUGUAGAACUAGGGAGUGGGAGAGGUAGACGGUACUCGAUAGGAAGGGGUAAAAUCCUUUGAUCUAUUGAUGACCACCUGUGGCGAAGGCGGUCUACCAGAACACGUUCGACGGUGAGGGAUGAAAGCUGGGGGAGCAAACCGGAUUAGAUACCCGGGUAGUCCCAGCUGUAAACGAUGCAGACUCGAUGAUGCAAUGGCAUAGAGCUAUUGCAGUAUCGCAGGGAAGCCGUUAAGUCUGCCGCCUGGGAAGCACGUUCGCAAGUAUGAAACUUAAAGGAAUUGGCGGGGGAGCAC
Molecule: ribosomal RNA, 868 nt
Filed under: uncultured Nitrososphaerota archaeon
Lineage: Archaea; Thermoproteati; Nitrososphaerota
Description: bacterial SSU rRNA
Rfam family: Archaeal small subunit ribosomal RNA
Source: RNAcentral